This is a non-coding RNA of Pelodiscus sinensis (Chinese soft-shelled turtle), 255 nucleotides long. NCBI's taxonomy places the organism in Eukaryota, Metazoa, Chordata, Testudines, Trionychidae. The record is from RefSeq and is a predicted model, not a curated record.
GAAAGCUUAUACGGUCUGCCCACUUUCUCAGUGAAAGACAGAUAUGCAUAUCGGCCACUCUCCACCAGCUCCAUUUGUUCCUGACACAGCUUCGCACAGUCGGCUUAUUGCUUCCCUGCAGGAUAGAAAAGACAGUACAUACUAUUGACCACUUAACAGCAUCCGCUACAAAAAGAUCCCUAAACAAGUUUGAAUGCAGGUGUGAACCUCUUUGGAAAUCUUAGUCAGACCACCACAGGUUGAAAACCACUGAAU